CGUGUACGCGCGCCGAAAAACCCGGUAAAUCGUAUUUAUUUCUCUUUCCCCCCCACCCCUCCGCGACGGCAUAUUAUUCGUUAUUGAAAUAAAUGGCGGACGACGCGACGUGAUCGCGUAAUAGUUGCCGGCGCGCGGCGGUGCCCGGGAAUUUUCGAACGGUAGGGCGGGUAGUGUAAAUAACAGUUCCGCGAACGGCCGCGAUCUCUUCGUGUUCCCGUAACCACACUUGAC
Cinara cedri is the source of this 234-nucleotide non-coding RNA. The record is from the annotation of a GenBank genome assembly. Lineage: Eukaryota; Metazoa; Arthropoda; Insecta; Hemiptera; Aphididae.